GGAGAAAAGUGUCGGUAAAUUAAUUAAGUUGUGACCGUCGGUAACGCGAAUUCACAAAUUUCUUGCUACGAGUUGCGGACGUUUGUAAUAAGUCGCGCGUGUAUGGCACAUAUCUGUAAAAAGUAGAAAGAUAAUAGGCCGGAAUUCGUGGGAUAGUGUGGUGCUUCGUCCAGUGGUUAUAAAGCUCGAGUAGGGCGUAAUCUAGAGUGGUCAGAACCUGUAUAGAUCCGAUAAAGAUCGGAUUCACGUUAAAAAUGAAGUUCGGUGCUUCUCGCUCGAGUAUUCAGCCGUGUGGCGUGCUCGCUACCAUAAUUGCUCGUGCUCGCAUGUCACAUUAGAGGACAUAUAAAAGACAUAUGAAUCUAAUUUGCAAUAAAAAUUUUGGACCAAAUAUGAGCAUCAUAAUUCUUACUCGUGGAAUCUAAUUCAGUAAUUAAGAUCGGGACAAAAUUGUAUAUAUUAGGUUGACCGAAAAGUGUCUUUCUUUUACAGACCCGUCUUUUACAACAAUGCAUCUUUACACAAACAUGAAAUCUAAUCUGUUGAACGUUAUGAUUUUUAUUUUGAUAGAAUAAAAUGGAUCGUACGUAAUUCGAUAAAAUAAUAUAAAACGGAAAAUGUUGUGCAUCUAUUAUUUUCUUAUAAAACGAAAGAAACUUUUCGGACGAGCUAAUAUCAAAACAGUGUAAGACUUUUUUCAAUUUAAUUUAUUAAUCUGUAUUCCUCUAUGUACAAGACUGCGCCUGCUAAAUAAUCCUUUCUAUGAUACAAGGUAGAGGUAAUUCAUUGGGUGAAAUUGCAUCUCAUUGUCAAACUCACUCAAUACAUUGCAAUCAAUUUUUUUAACCAUAAUAGAUUAAAAAAAGAGAGACAAAACGAAAGAACAAUUCAGAUUAUUAUUUACAAAAAUAAUUGAUCAAUUAUUGAUCGAUUAAUUAUUGGACAAUUCAUCUCCGCAUUUUUACAAAGGGAAAGAAAUAUAAAUUCAAGAUAGUCAUUCUUUCUUUGUACUGCUUUCAAUCAAUAUAAUGAACACAACCUGUGAAUUAGGCAAUAGUUAAUUCAUUAUUAAUUAUGUACAAGUAAUUAUUAUCGAAUAAAGAAUUAAUGAAGGGAUAUAAAAAUUUUUCGUGGUUAUUUCAUAAUGACAACCCAUCAAUUAAUCGACAAAUACGGAAUGACUAAUUAAUUAAUCAUCGGUACUAAUUGUAAGGUCUUUUUGUUAAAGACCGACAGUAGUGACACAAUUAACUAAUUAAUCUUAGAUAUAAUUGAUCAAUUAACGAUAAAAUUUCUUAAGCUAAUUAAACGAAAUUGAUACUAUUUAAAGCACCUGAAAAAUUCUGCUCUUAAAAAUUGUGCUCCGCUUAGAAAAUUCACUGCGACUUUUACUCUUUUUUUUAAAUAGUAAUUAGUGUGAUCAUAUUUACUUGUCGCAAUCUGAAUCAUUAUGUUAUAAAUUAAUUUUGUUUUAUCAUGUUAUUAUAUAUGAAGUCAUUUAUAUUCUUUUACGUGCAUUAUUGACCUUGCAUUUUUUUGGUAACUGUCUCGUUUUUUCUCUUUUUUGGACACUUUGGCAUAAAAGAUAAAUAAAUAUAUCAAAGUGACGCGGCUGAAAUGAAUCAAUUUUGAUUCAAAUAAUCUUUAAAAUGAAGAAUAUUACUCUAACUAAAAAGAAUAAUGCACAAUAUUAAAAAAAAUUUCACAUAAAAAAUAUGUUUCGACUAUUUCAA
Bombus huntii is the source of this 1733-nucleotide long non-coding RNA. RefSeq lists it as uncharacterized. The record is from RefSeq and is a predicted model, not a curated record. Lineage: Eukaryota; Metazoa; Arthropoda; Insecta; Hymenoptera; Apidae. The transcript has 2 exons.